CGCGUAGGUGGUUCAGUAAGAUGGGUGUGAAAUCCCCGGGCUCAACCUGGGAACUGCUUUCAUAACUGCUGAGCUAGAGUACGGUAGAGGGUAGUGGAAUUUCCUGUGUAGCGGUGAAAUGCGUAGAUAUAGGAAGGAACACCAGUGGCGAAGGCGACUACCUGGACUGAUACUGACACUGAGGUGCGAAAGCGUGGGGAGCAAACA
This 207-nucleotide ribosomal RNA is filed under the name uncultured Pseudomonas sp. RNAcentral's name for it is "partial 16S ribosomal RNA". It matches the Rfam family "Bacterial small subunit ribosomal RNA", at positions 568 to 774 of the family's 1533-position model. The record is from RNAcentral. Lineage: Bacteria; Pseudomonadati; Pseudomonadota; Gammaproteobacteria; Pseudomonadales; Pseudomonadaceae.